AACGCGAAGAACCUUACCUGGGUUCGAAAUGCAGGUGUAAACCUCAGAGAUGAGGUCCCCUCUUCGGAGGCACCUGUAUAGGUGCUGCAUGGCUGUCGUCAGCUCGUGUCGUGAGAUGUUGGGUUAAGUCCCGCAACGAGCGCAACCCUUGUCCAUAGUUGCUAACGCGUAGUGGCGAGAACUCUAUGGAGACUGCCGGUGAUAAACCGGAGGAAGGUGGGGAUGACGUCAAGUCCUCAUGGCCUUUAUGUCCAGGGCUACACACGUGCUACAAUGCCCAGUACAGAACGAUCCGAGACCGCGAGGUGGAGGAAAUCUAUCGAAAACUGGGCCCAGUUCGGAUUGGAGUCUGCAACUCGACUCCAUGAAGCCGGAAUCGCUAGUAAUGGCGCAUCAGCUACGGCGCCGUGAAUACGUUCCCGGGCCUUGUACACACCGCACUACUA
RNAcentral lists this ribosomal RNA (446 nucleotides) under uncultured bacterium. RNAcentral's name for it is "bacterial SSU rRNA". It matches the Rfam family "Bacterial small subunit ribosomal RNA", at positions 958 to 1400 of the family's 1533-position model. The record is from RNAcentral.